RNAcentral lists this microRNA precursor (78 nucleotides) under Nematostella vectensis (starlet sea anemone). RNAcentral's name for it is "microRNA nve-mir-2035 precursor (nve-mir-2035-1, nve-mir-2035-2)". The record is from miRBase by way of RNAcentral. Lineage: Eukaryota; Metazoa; Cnidaria; Anthozoa; Actiniaria; Edwardsiidae.
GUGGCGUAUUACAUGGUCUGUUACAAGGGAUGAAGUGCUCGAGUUUCGAGUUCCCUUGUGACAGCCCAUGGGAGAAUU